CCUACGGGAGGCUGCAGUGAGGAAUAUUGGUCAAUGGACGAGAGUCUGAACCAGCCAAGUAGCGUGAAGGAUGACUGCCCUAUGGGUUGUAAACUUCUUUUAUCUGGGAAUAAAAUGUUCCACGUGUGGGAUUUUGUAUGUACCAUAUGAAUAAGGAUCGGCUAACUCCGUGCCAGCAGCCGCGGUAAUACGGAGGAUCCGCGCGUUUUCCGGAUUUAUUGGGUUUAAAGGGGGCGUAGCUGGAUUGUUAAGGCAGUUGUGAAAGUUUGCGGAGCAACCGUAAAAUUGCAGUUGACACUGGCAGUCUUGAGUACAGGAGAGGUGUGCGGAAUUCGUGGUGUAGCGGUGAAAUGCUUAGAUAUCACGAAGAACUCCGAUUGCGAAGGCAGGUCACUGGACUGCAACUGACACUGAGGCUCGAAAGUGUGGGUAUCAAACAGGAUUAGAUACCCGGGUAGUC
RNAcentral lists this ribosomal RNA (460 nucleotides) under uncultured bacterium. Its description in RNAcentral is "partial 16S ribosomal RNA". It matches the Rfam family "Bacterial small subunit ribosomal RNA", at positions 338 to 795 of the family's 1533-position model. The record is from RNAcentral.